Molecule: transfer RNA, 76 nt
Filed under: Desulfobacterales bacterium
Lineage: Bacteria; Pseudomonadati; Thermodesulfobacteriota; Desulfobacteria; Desulfobacterales
Description: tRNA-Lys
Rfam family: tRNA
About the family: Transfer RNA (tRNA) molecules are approximately 80 nucleotides in length. Their secondary structure includes four short double-helical elements and three loops (D, anti-codon, and T loops).
Source: RNAcentral
GGGCCGUUAACUCAGAUGGUAGAGUAUCUGCCUUUUAAGCAGAGAGUCGCGCGUUCAAGUCGCGCACGGCCCACCA